This 398-nucleotide ribosomal RNA is filed under the name uncultured bacterium. RNAcentral describes it as "bacterial SSU rRNA". It matches the Rfam family "Bacterial small subunit ribosomal RNA", at positions 29 to 429 of the family's 1533-position model. The record is from RNAcentral.
AUUGAACGCUGGCGGCAUGCCUUACACAUGCAAGUCGAACGGCGGCACGGGAGCAAUCCUGGUGGCGAGUGGCGAACGGGUGAGUAAUAUAUCGGAACGUGCCCGGUCGUGGGGGAUAACGUAGCGAAAGCUACGCUAAUACCGCAUACGAUCUACGGAUGAAAGCGGGGGAUCGCAAGACCUCGCGCGAUUGGAGCGGCCGAUAUCAGAUUAGGUAGUUGGUGAGGUAAAGGCUCACCAAGCCGACGAUCUGUAGCUGGUCUGAGAGGACGACCAGCCACACUGGGACUGAGACACGGCCCAGACUCCUACGGGAGGCAGCAGUGGGGGAAUUUUGGACAAUGGGCGCAAGCCUGAUCCAGCAAUGCCGCGUGCAGGAUGAAGGCCUCGGUUGUAAC